AGUGAAACCAUCUGGGCCUGGAGUAAAGGCGUGUGGCAUUGUUACUGUGGUCACUGAUGAGGAGUAGAGGGAGGAUUCACAGCCAAGUUGCUAUGAUCUUGUCGUUAUGGAGACAGACAUGCUGGGCUUCAUCACAAGGCUGUUUUCCUCCAGGUAUGACGUUGCUGUGGAAACACAAAGCCCAAAUCCUCAAAGAACACUCUGUUCUAGUCCCAGCUGCUUUAUCCAUCUGCGUUGUAUCUCAUUAGCAGAAGAGCCUAGUGAGAUAGGAGUUGCAUCUCUGCUCACCCAGAUCUCUAGAGAAGGGAUCUACCCCUGGACUUUUUUCUGGAAAAUUCUUCACGAAGCCAUAGGUAUGGAUGGAAGAAAAUGCACCAGUCCAAUAGCAGUAGGAGCCUGGGUAUCCUAUGCAUUUGAGUAUCUCACAUCUUCUGGAUCUGCCUAAACCUAGUCUCCAAGUACCACGGAUAUU
This 472-nucleotide long non-coding RNA is filed under the name Pan troglodytes (chimpanzee). RNAcentral's name for it is "lincRNA". Lineage: Eukaryota; Metazoa; Chordata; Mammalia; Primates; Hominidae. The record is from RNAcentral.